UGAGUAACGCGUGAGCAACCUGCCUUACAGGGGAUAACACAGCGAAAGUUGUACUAAUACCGCAUGAGACCACGGUGAGACAUCUCGACAGGGGUCAAAGGAGCAAUCCGGUAAGGGUGGGCUCGCGUCCGAUUAGAUAGUUGGUGAGGUAACGGCCCACCAAGUCAACGAUCGGUAGCCGACCUGAGAGGUGAUCGGCCACAUUGGGACUGAGACACGGCCCAAACUCCUACGGGAGGCAGCAGUGGGGAAUAUUGGGCAAAUGGGGGGAACCCUGACCCAGCAACGCCGCGUGAGGGAAGAAGGUUUUCGGAUCGUAAACCUCUGUCCUUGGUGAAGAGGAAGAGACGGUAGCCAAGGAGGAAGCCCCGGCUAACUACGUGCCAGCCGCGGC
Molecule: ribosomal RNA, 394 nt
Filed under: uncultured bacterium
Lineage: Bacteria
Description: bacterial SSU rRNA
Rfam family: Bacterial small subunit ribosomal RNA
Source: RNAcentral